RNAcentral lists this ribosomal RNA (458 nucleotides) under uncultured Bacteroidota bacterium. Its description in RNAcentral is "bacterial SSU rRNA". It matches the Rfam family "Bacterial small subunit ribosomal RNA", at positions 456 to 916 of the family's 1533-position model. The record is from RNAcentral. Lineage: Bacteria; Pseudomonadati; Bacteroidota.
CUCGUGAGCUGGGCUGAUGGUACUGUAAGAAUANNNNUCGGCUAACUCCGUGCCAGCAGCCGCGGUAAUACGGAGGAUCCAAGCGUUAUCCGGAUUUAUUGGGUUUAAAGGGUGCGCAGGCGGAUUGGUAAGUCAGUGGUGAAAUCCUACAGCUUAACUGUAGAACUGCCAUUGAUACUAUUAGUCUUGAGUACAUUUGAAGUGGGCGGAAUGUGUCAUGUAGCGGUGAAAUGCUUAGAGAUGACACAGAACACCGAUAGCGAAGGCAGCUCACUAAACUGUAACUGACGCUCAUGCACGAAAGCGUGGGGAUCAAACAGGAUUAGAUACCCUGGUAGUCCACGCCGUAAACGAUGAUUACUCGAUGUGUGCGAUACACAGUACGCGUCUAAGGGAAACCGAUAAGUAAUCCACCUGGGGAGUACGAUCGCAAGAUUGAAACUCAAAGGAAUUGACGG